CGUUAGUUGCUAACGCGUGAAGGCGAGCACUCUAGACGAACUGCCGUUGACAAAACGGAGGAAGGUGGGGAUGACGUCAAAUCAUCAUGCCCCUUAUGUUCUGGGCUACACACGUGCUACAAUGGCCGGUACAGACGGACGCAAAGCCGCGAGGCGGAGCAAAUCCGAAAAAGCCGGUCUCAGUUCGGAUUGCAGGCUGCAAUUCGCCUGCAUGAAGUCGGAAUCGCUAGUAAUCGCAGGUCAGCAUACUGCGGUGAAUACGUUCCCGGGCCUU
This 274-nucleotide ribosomal RNA is filed under the name uncultured Pelotomaculum sp. RNAcentral describes it as "partial 16S ribosomal RNA". It matches the Rfam family "Bacterial small subunit ribosomal RNA", at positions 1108 to 1382 of the family's 1533-position model. Lineage: Bacteria; Bacillati; Bacillota; Clostridia; Eubacteriales; Desulfotomaculaceae. The record is from RNAcentral.